UGUACGAACGAGUCGAGUAAAUGUGUCAAGUAAUUGUGUCAGAGCUGCAAUUAUCGAAAGCCGUAUUAAAAGUCUAUUUAAUAGAAAUAGCAAAACUAGUCGUGACUUUGCAAUGACUUGAGUAAGUCAAGAACUCUAGAGAAUCGAUGACAGUGCGCGAAUGCGAAAAAAGAGUUUCAGUCCGAUAGAAUUUGUUGAGCUAAUCAAGUCAAGUGACGACCAAGCAACAACAUGCGCCAGCCAAGUUCAAAGUCAAGAGCAAAACGACACCAACCUCGGCUAGCGCAGAGGGGCUUUACAACACCUGCAAACGAAACCGUUGAUCAUCGCAAAAGCCCCCGAAAACACGUUUCGACUUGUUCAAAUUGGUCACUAUUAUGAGCCGGGAUAAAUGGAAUACAGUUUUAAUGUCUCAAAAGCAAUCUGAUUAAUUGUAGUUUUAUUUACCCAACAAGUCCAGUGCGUAUUGCCACACGACAGUUGUAACAGGCCCAAGUGGACGCCUCGCAUAAUCAAUAAAGAUGUUGAAUUGA
Molecule: long non-coding RNA, 533 nt
Organism: Drosophila mojavensis
Lineage: Eukaryota; Metazoa; Arthropoda; Insecta; Diptera; Drosophilidae
Exons: 2
Source: RefSeq, a predicted model, not a curated record